This 746-nucleotide ribosomal RNA is filed under the name uncultured bacterium. Its description in RNAcentral is "bacterial SSU rRNA". It matches the Rfam family "Bacterial small subunit ribosomal RNA", at positions 103 to 827 of the family's 1533-position model. The record is from RNAcentral.
CGGGUGAGUAACGCGUAGAUAAUCUGCCUUAGACUCUGGGAUAACAUCUCGAAAGGGGUGCUAAUACCGGAUAAGCCCACGGGGACGUGAGUUCUUGCGGGAAAAGGGGGCCUCUGCAUAUGCUCUUGAUCUAAGAUGAGUCUGCGUACCAUUAGCUUGUUGGUAGGGUAAUGGCCUACCAAGGCGACGAUGGUUAGCUGGUCUGAGAGGAUGAUCAGCCACACUGGGACUGAGACACGGCCCAGACUCCUACGGGAGGCAGCAGUGGGGAAUUUUGCGCAAUGGGGGAAACCCUGACGCAGCAACGCCGCGUGAGUGAUGAAGGCUUUCGGGUCGUAAAGCUCUGUCUAGAGGGAAGAAGUGAUAUUUAGCUAAUACCCAGAUUUCUUGACGGUACCUCUGAAGGAAGCACCGGCUAACUCCGUGCCAGCAGCCGCGGUAAUACGGAGGGUGCAAGCGUUGUUCGGAAUUAUUGGGCGUAAAGCGCGUGUAGGCGGUUUGUUAAGUCUGAUGUGAAAGCCCUGGGCUCAACCUGGGAAGUGCAUUGGAAACUGGCGGACUUGAAUACGGGAGAGGGUAGUGGAAUUCCGAGUGUAGGAGUGAAAUCCGUAGAUAUUCGGAGGAACACCGGUGGCGAAGGCGGCUACCUGGACCGAUAUUGACGCUGAGACGCGAAAGCGUGGGUAGCAAACAGGAUUAGAUACCCUGGUAGUCCACGCCGUAAACGAUGAGUACUAGGUGUUGCG